AUUGAACGCUGGCGGCAUGCCUUACACAUGCGAGUCGAACGGUAACGGGCCUUCGGGUGCCGACGAGUGGCGCACGGGUGAGUAAUACAUCGGAACGUGCCCGAUCGUGGGGGAUAACGAGGCGAAAGCUUUGCUAAUACCGCAUACGAUCUACGGAUGAAAGCAGGGGACCGCAAGGCCUUGCGCGGACGGAGCGGCCGAUGGCAGAUUAGGUAGUUGGUGGGAUAAAAGCUUACCAAGCCGACGAUCUGUAGCUGGUCUGAGAGGAUGAUCAGCCACACUGGGACUGAGACGCGGCCCAGACUCCUACGGGAGGCAGCAGUGGGGAAUUUUGGACAAUGGGCGCAAGCCUGAUCCAGCCAUGCCGCGUGCAGGAUGAAGGCCUUCGGGUUGUAAACUGCUUUUGUACGGAACGAAAAGCCUUCUUUUAAUACAGGAGGGUCAUGACGGUACCGUAAGAAUAAGCACCGGCUAACUACGUG
Molecule: ribosomal RNA, 482 nt
Filed under: uncultured bacterium
Lineage: Bacteria
Description: partial 16S ribosomal RNA
Rfam family: Bacterial small subunit ribosomal RNA
Source: RNAcentral